This is a long non-coding RNA of Sorex araneus (European shrew), 1448 nucleotides long. RefSeq lists it as uncharacterized. Lineage: Eukaryota; Metazoa; Chordata; Mammalia; Eulipotyphla; Soricidae. The transcript is spliced from 9 exons. The record is from RefSeq and is a predicted model, not a curated record.
AGCAGCUAGCUGCCUUUCAGAAAGGGGGGGGGGGGUGGGCAAAAGGAGACCCACGCCUCGGGGGCCCCCUGGCACCCCGAUGGGUCCCGUCUGAGCAGCUCGCAGAGGGGCGCGUCCCCACUCACCCGCUCCGUUGGUGCCGCUCUCCCCGGACGCCCAGCACAGCGCGAGCAGCAGCCAGAGCGCCCAGCGCGCGGACGUGCCCAUGGUGCCCGCCUGGAUGGUGCCGCCGCUCGCUCCGCACAACAAGUUACCAGCCCUUGCAAAGGAGGAAGGAGUCUCUGCAUUAAACUCAGAAAGAAAAGAAAUUCCCAGGAGACAGUGAAUCUCAAGCUGAUCCUUAGUUAUGAGCAAGAGGUCUCUGGAACUAAGAGUGAUUCAAUUAAAAAUAAAGCAGUGGAGCCCCUCCCACCGCUGCCGAGAUGUGACCCCGGGGGCCGCAUGUGCGUGCGGCUCCUCCGCAGCUGCACGAGCGUGAAUCCAGACCCAGCUGAACCAACUUCAACAUGGGCAGCUCCUUGCAGAUUGUCUCCAGCCAGAGAACUAAGCCGAGACCCCAUGCCCACCCAGGAGGGGAAAGACUGGAGCAAUAGCACAGCAGGUAGGGCAUUUGCCUUGCACACGGCCAGCCCAGGUUUUAUUCCUCCAUCCCUCUCGGAGAGCCCGGCAAGCUACCAAGAAUAUUCCACUCGCAUGGCAGAGACUGAUCAAUAGACUGUUCACCCAGGAGAGCUGCUGUGAUGAAGAGUUCAGGAAUAAUGGACAAAGAUGCAAUGCCUGAGGAUGCAGCAGACCUCUUGUCACCGGGAUGUGACAAGCACCGGAAGGAAGUUAUGCUAGGAACAGAAAGUGCAAAGGAGAAAGAGUCACAUGUCAGCAUGAUUGAGCUGCCACAUGGACACUAGCCUGCUCACCUCCCUAUUUGUUUUUACUUGAGAAAAACCAGAAUAUUUAUUGCCAUCACCGUGAACCAUAACAGAGCUGAAAGAGUUCAGACACAGAUAUGAGUGGUCCCAAGUAUACAAAAAGGAUAUUAAUGAAUCUGGUGACUGGCAGGCAUUCCAGGGUAAAGAUUACAUCAUAUACCAUCAACUUCUGGACUUUAAAAAUGAUUCUAACCUAAUCCAUUUACAUGGAAGGAUCUUCUUCAAAUUUUGUCUGAUCCUACUUUUCUGAAGCCAGAGAACUACUGAAGGAGUCAGAGCUGGAGAAAUAGUGCAGUGGAUAGGAUGAAGCAUGCCUUUGGGAAGAGCAAGAAAGGGAUGUGCUAUAUUCACUCUGGCCCUGGAUCUCCAAGCCACCUCUUCUAAAAAUGUGCUUCACUCUUUACUUUCUCUAUAAAAUCCCCUUCUUGUGACUGUGCAGGCGAGAUGGUUACUUUGGAAAAAUGCCUGCACCACCUUCCACCCUGCCAGCUGCUGCCAGUAAAGCUCAUUCUCUACCCCCUA